ACGGCCGCGGUACCCUAACCGUGCGAAGGUAGCAUAAUCACUUGUUCUUUAAAUGAGGACUCGUAUCAACGGCAUCACGAGGAUCCUACUGUCUCCCCCCUCUAAUCGGUGAAACUGAUCUCUCCGUGAAGAAGCGGAGAUGUACAUAUAAGACGAGAAGACCCCAUGGAGCUUUAAACCCAACAACACCCGCCCCCCCUCCAAAUCCUAUUAUUUACCCGGUGAUUGUUUGUUUGGUUUUAGGUUGGGGUGACCGCGGAGUAUAAGAUAUCCUCCAUGAAAAAAAGCUAACUGCCCUUAUUAGAGAAAGACACUUCCAAAAAAUAAUAAAUUAAUUUUAAAUGAUCCGACAUUCGAUCAACGAACCAAGUUACCCUGGGGAUAACAGCGCAAUCCGUCCCGAGAGCCCCUAUCGACAGGCGGGUUUACGACCUCGAUGUUGGAUCAGGGUAUCCCAGUGGUGCAGCAGCUACUAAAGGUUCGUUUGUUCAACGAUUAAAACCCU
RNAcentral lists this ribosomal RNA (505 nucleotides) under Boophis madagascariensis (Madagascar bright-eyed frog). RNAcentral describes it as "partial 16S ribosomal RNA". It matches the Rfam family "Bacterial large subunit ribosomal RNA", at positions 1927 to 2597 of the family's 2925-position model. The record is from RNAcentral. Lineage: Eukaryota; Metazoa; Chordata; Amphibia; Anura; Mantellidae.